RNAcentral lists this ribosomal RNA (465 nucleotides) under uncultured bacterium. RNAcentral's name for it is "partial 16S ribosomal RNA". It matches the Rfam family "Bacterial small subunit ribosomal RNA", at positions 28 to 507 of the family's 1533-position model. The record is from RNAcentral.
GACGAACGCUGGCGGCGUGCUUAACACAUGCCAGUCGAACGGAAAGGCCCCUUUGGGGGUACUCGAGCGGCGAACGGGCGAGUAACACGUGCGUAACCUGCCCUUGACUUCGUGAUAGCUUCAGUAAACUGGGGCUAAUACCGGCUAGGAAUCCUUGCUUCCUGGUGGGGGUUGGAAAGCUUCGGCGGGUUUGGAUGGACUCGCGGGUUAUCUGCUUGUUGGUGGGGUAGGGGCUUACCAAAGCUUUGUUGGGUAGGCGGCCGGGGGGGGCGACCGGCCACAUUGGGGCUGAGGUACGGCCCAGACUCCUAAGGGAAGCAGGCGUGGGGAAUAUUGGACAAUGGGCGGGAGCCUGGUGCAGCAAAGCCGCGGGCGGGAAGAAGGGCUUCGGGUUGGAAACCGCCUUCCGCAGGGGCGAAGCUUGGAGUGACGGUAAUUGCAGAAGAAGCACCGGCUAACUACGUG